RNAcentral lists this long non-coding RNA (328 nucleotides) under Elaeis guineensis (African oil palm). RNAcentral's name for it is "long non-coding RNA (EGUI_LNC000956)". Lineage: Eukaryota; Viridiplantae; Streptophyta; Magnoliopsida; Arecales; Arecaceae. The record is from RNAcentral.
GUUCCGAAGAUAAGUCGGUGUAUAGGGGUCAGUCGGUAUAUCCCAACAGUUGGCCCUCCCCACUCCUGAGUCUGAUGUCGUGUUGACCCGCGUUACCACGUGGGCGAUGGCCUCGGGCGAAAGGAGUGGUUUUCUAUCACGUCAUGCUCCGACUCUGCCGAUCGUACCAACAGACGAUCCGGUGUCAGACGUCUCAUCGAAAAUGCAAACCGUCGUCGGUUAAUUAAUUUCGAGACGCGGUUUUUCCGUCACGCAUCGGGGGGCUAUUGGGCCGGAACUGUUUGCGCGGAUGGAGACGACGUGGUUCGAUCUGGGAUAGGUGCGUCGA